RNAcentral lists this ribosomal RNA (396 nucleotides) under uncultured bacterium. RNAcentral describes it as "bacterial SSU rRNA". It matches the Rfam family "Bacterial small subunit ribosomal RNA", at positions 28 to 430 of the family's 1533-position model. The record is from RNAcentral.
GACGAACGCUGGCGGCGUGCUUAACACAUGCAAGUCGAGCGGUAAGGCCCCUUCGGGGGUACACGAGCGGCGAACGGGUGAGUAACACGUGGGUGACCUGCCCUCAGCUCUGGGAUAAGCCUGGGAAACUGGGUCUAAUACCGGAUAUGACUCCAUGACGCAUGUCGUGGGGUGGAAAGCCUUGUGCGGCUGGGGAUGGGCCCGCGGCCUAUCAGCUUGUUGGUGGGGUGAUGGCCUACCAAGGCGACGACGGGUAGCCGGCCUGAGAGGGCGACCGGCCACACUGGGACUGAGACACGGCCCAGACUCCUACGGGAGGCAGCAGUGGGGAAUCUUGCGCAAUGGGCGAAAGCCUGACGCAGCGACGCCGCGUGAGGGAUGACGGCCUGUGUAACU